UGGCAGAGAUUCAGAACUGUCUGUGGGGUU
RNAcentral lists this non-coding RNA (30 nucleotides) under Rattus norvegicus (Norway rat). The record is from RNAcentral. Lineage: Eukaryota; Metazoa; Chordata; Mammalia; Rodentia; Muridae.